This 500-nucleotide ribosomal RNA is filed under the name uncultured bacterium. RNAcentral describes it as "partial 16S ribosomal RNA". It matches the Rfam family "Bacterial small subunit ribosomal RNA", at positions 30 to 523 of the family's 1533-position model. The record is from RNAcentral.
AUUGAACGCUGGCGGCAGGCCUAACACAUGCAAGUCGAGCGGAUGACGGGAGCUUGCUCCUUGAUUCAGCGGCGGACGGGUGAGUAAUGCCUAGGAAUCUGCCUGGUAGUGGGGGACAACGUUUCGAAAGGAACGCUAAUACCGCAUACGUCCUACGGGAGAAAGCAGGGGACCUUCGGGCCUUGCGCUAUCAGAUGAGCCUAGGUCGGAUUAGCUAGUUGGGGGGGUAAUGGCUCACCAAGGCGACGAUCCGUAACUGGUCUGAGAGGAUGAUCAGUCACACUGGAACUGGGACACGGUCCAGACUCCUACGGGAGGCAGCAGUGGGGAAUAUUGGACAAUGGGCGAAAGCCUGAUCCAGCCAUGCCGCGUGUGUGAAGAAGGUCUUCGGAUUGUAAAGCACUUUAAGUUGGGAGGAAGGGCAGUAAGCUAAUACCUUGCUGUUUUGACGUUACCGACAGAAUAAGCACCGGUUAACUCUGUGCCAGCAGCCGCCGUAA